GUAUAUGAGAGCAAUCUGGCUGCAACCUCUGUCACCCCAUUGGUCACCAGGGUUGAUUCAGCUGACCUAGCUGACUCAGCAGAUGUCCCCUACCACCAUCACCACUCCAUGUGCAUUCCUCCCUCUGCUGCCCAUUCAUUCAAAGAGGACAAUCGACCUGACAGAGAAUGACCAGUCUCUGUUCAAGGGUAUAGAGUAGCUGCACUCUACUGUGACCUCCACACAAGCCCUUGAGAAACAAGCUCAGAUAUAGGCCAUUGCCAGAUUGUCUCU
This 273-nucleotide small nuclear RNA is filed under the name Nannospalax galili (Upper Galilee mountains blind mole rat). RNAcentral describes it as "7SK RNA (ENSNGAG00000005963.1)". It matches the Rfam family "7SK RNA". Rfam says of the family: 7SK was discovered as an abundant small nuclear RNA in the mid-70s but a possible function has only recently been suggested. Two independent studies have found that 7SK RNA binds the CDK9/cyclin T complex (known as elongation factor P-TEFb). P-TEFb activates transcription by phosphorylating the C-terminal domain of RNA polymerase II. Lineage: Eukaryota; Metazoa; Chordata; Mammalia; Rodentia; Spalacidae. The record is from Rfam by way of RNAcentral.